Molecule: transfer RNA, 73 nt
Filed under: Enterobacteriaceae bacterium
Lineage: Bacteria; Pseudomonadati; Pseudomonadota; Gammaproteobacteria; Enterobacterales; Enterobacteriaceae
Description: tRNA-Thr
Rfam family: tRNA
About the family: Transfer RNA (tRNA) molecules are approximately 80 nucleotides in length. Their secondary structure includes four short double-helical elements and three loops (D, anti-codon, and T loops).
Source: RNAcentral
GCCGAAAUAGCUUAACUGGUAGAGCAACACAUUCGUAAUGUGAUGGUUGGAGGUUCAAGUCCUCUUUUCGGCU